CCCGCAGGCCAUCUUAUCGCGCCCCGGUCUCUUUCCGGGGUGAGGAAAGUCCGGACACCACAGCGCAGCGUAGCGGGUAACACCCGCCCUUCGCCAAGGCGGAGAGGACCAGUGCAACAGAAAGGAUGUACAGGUAAUGCUGUAGUGAAAUCAGGUAAACUCUACGCGGUGCAACGCCAUGUAAACCGGCAUUUGAGGGUUGCGCGCCCGACUCGCUCACAGCGGAUGCCGGAGGGUAGGCGGUUAGAGAUGCCGGGCAACCGGUAUCCCAGAUAAAUGAUAAGACUCGACAGAAUCCGGCUUACAGGCCUGCUUUUUUU
RNAcentral lists this RNase P RNA (320 nucleotides) under Sinomicrobium weinanense. RNAcentral's name for it is "Bacterial RNase P class A". It matches the Rfam family "Bacterial RNase P class A". From Rfam's summary of the family: Ribonuclease P (RNase P) is a ubiquitous endoribonuclease, found in archaea, bacteria and eukarya as well as chloroplasts and mitochondria. The record is from Rfam by way of RNAcentral. Lineage: Bacteria; Pseudomonadati; Bacteroidota; Flavobacteriia; Flavobacteriales; Flavobacteriaceae.